UAAAUAUUGAUAUACAGAGUGUGGGAGGCUGACAGAAAAUAGCAGGCUUUAAUUCUCACCUCUGUGGAAAUCGCUGGCCCUGAGAAACAGAAAUAUUGCAAUGGAUGAAGAGCAAUAUUUCACUUCUGAAGAAAAUAUCCCCCUAUCAUCACGAUCCUGGCUCUGGAAGAAGAGGAAUUUCAUUUCUCCUGCUGCUAAAAGCCAAAGCAAAACAGGUAUCACAUGUGCUGAGGAGAUGUCUGUCUUAGGCCUGGCUGGAAACCUUUGACAGGCCACACAGCUGAUCUGCAGUGAAAUAAGGAAGAAAAAAUAUGAAAGUAGAACUGAUAUUCCACUGGAAGUUUUCCAAGSAGAAUGUCACCUUUUCAAAAUCAAAACUUUUCAUGGGGAUACCAGGACAUUAUAGACAGAAGAGCCUUCAAUAUGGACCUAGAAUGGAAAUUCAUAUUGGCACCAGAGAGAGAUACACUCCAAAAUGUCCAGUACUGAAAUAGUUAAGGCAAGCACUUACAUUCUUGCUCCACUGAAGAUGAGGAAGUUGAACCUCAGGUCAUGUUUCAGUGGAUUAGCACACACUUAGAACAGCCCAGCCUUGUGGCACCCCUUUCCACACUGCAGAAAAUUGAAGAGUUUAAAGGUUUCCAAGCCGUGCCGUGCUGCUCAGGCAGUCUGGCAUGAGCCUUUAGCCGGUUUCCUUAGCACCCGCAGCACAGACCUUUCUGUGAAUUUGUCUGAAGCACAAUUCAAUAAUGCAAGACAUCGACAGGCCUGAGGCAUGUUCUCAUGGCUGCUCCUCAGAUGUUUAUUGUGGGCAACCAUGCCAGAUGAUGUGUGGCUUGCCAGUGCUUUGUGACUGCUUGUGAUCAUUAAAAAUACAAAAAGAUAAACAUUGUCUGUAACCACAUGAAGCCUAUCUGGGUGCAUUUUGGCUGGAAUUACAACUACUCAUACCUCAAGGAAACUGCAGACCUCCCUAGCUCUGUGCACACUAUCUAACCCAGGCAUCCGUGCUUUUAUAGCAGAGCUUCUACCAGUGGUAAAGCUGGCGUGCAGUACUUCUGGGCAUGUGGCUCCCAUUUCACAAGGCCUAAUCCUGUGAAACCCCCACUGCCAUCGAGAUCCUGAGCGUAAUACCAUUUUGAGCAAGUUGCUCUAGUAUAUUUAUAAUUAUAUCAGAAUUGGUAGACUCCUUCCAGCCCUUUUCUGUUCUGUAAACUCGCUGAUAAACCUGCAGGCAAAUGUACAGGCUGGAUUCCAUCCACCUCUAUUCUUUAACUCUCUAAAUAUAGACACAGUUCAACAAGCAGUGGAAAUAGCUUCCCCUCAGAGAAUGAGAGUUUUUGUCACAGACUAAUUUCUCCUGGUUGGAAAGGAAAGAGCUUMCUAAUAAAUGAAACAGACAAUAAUAAAGACA
Molecule: long non-coding RNA, 1414 nt
Filed under: Dromaius novaehollandiae (emu)
Lineage: Eukaryota; Metazoa; Chordata; Aves; Casuariiformes; Dromaiidae
Description: lncRNA (ENSDNVG00000003845.1)
Source: RNAcentral